Molecule: ribosomal RNA, 534 nt
Filed under: uncultured bacterium
Lineage: Bacteria
Description: bacterial SSU rRNA
Rfam family: Bacterial small subunit ribosomal RNA
Source: RNAcentral
CAAAUAGACUACCCCGGUAGUCCACGCCGUAAACGAUGGAUACUAGCUGUUUGAGCGCAAGGUUUGAGUGGCUAAGCGAAAGUGAUAAGUAUCCCACCUGGGGAGUACGGGCGCAAGCCUGAAACUCAAAGGAAUUGACGGGGGGCCCGCACAAGCGGUGGAGCAUGUGGUUUAAUUCGAUGAUACGCGAGGAACCUUACCAGGGCUUAAAUGUAGAUUGACGUAUUUGGAAACAGAUAUUUCUUCGGACAAUUUACAAGGUGCUGCAUGGUUGUCGUCAGCUCGUGCCGUGAGGUGUCAGGUUAAGUCCUAUAACGAGCGCAACCCCUGUUGUUAGUUGCCAGCGAGUAAUGUCGGGAACUCUAGCAAGACUGCCAGUGUAAACUGUGAGGAAGGUGGGGAUGACGUCAAAUCAUCACGGCCCUUACGUCCUGGGCCACACACGUGCUACAAUGGCCGGUACAGAGAGCAGCCACUUAGCGAUAAGGAGCGAAUCUAUAAAGCCGGUCACAGUUCGGAUCGGAGUCUGCAACG